GACGAACGCUGGCGGCGUGCUUAACACAUGCAAGUCGAACGGAAAGGCCCUGCUUUUGUGGGGUGCUCGAGUGGCGAACGGGUGAGUAACACGUGAGUAACCUGCCCUUGACUUUGGGAUAACUUCAGGAAACUGGGGCUAAUACCGGAUAGGAGCUCCUGCUGCAUGGUGGGGGUUGGAAAGUUUCGGCGGUUGGGGAUGGACUCGCGGCUUAUCAGCUUGUUGGUGGGGUAGUGGCUUACCAAGGCUUUGACGGGUAGCCGGCCUGAGGAGGUGACCGGCCACAUUGGGACUGGGAUACGGCCCAGAAUCGUACGGGAGGCAGAAGUGGCGAAUAUUGCACAAUGGGCGGAUGCCUGAUGCAGCAACCCCGAGUGCGGGAUGACGGCCUUCGGGUUGUAAACCGCUUUCGCCUGUGACGAAGCGUGAGCGACGGUAAUGGGUAAAGAAGCACCGGCUAACUACGUG
Molecule: ribosomal RNA, 468 nt
Filed under: uncultured bacterium
Lineage: Bacteria
Description: partial 16S ribosomal RNA
Rfam family: Bacterial small subunit ribosomal RNA
Source: RNAcentral